CUCCUUGUGGUGUAGUUGGCUAUCACGUUCGGCUGUAAUUGUAACAAUCAUAAACCGAAAGGUCACCGGCUCGAUUCCGGUCGAGGAGA
This is a non-coding RNA of Rhypophila decipiens, 89 nucleotides long. NCBI's taxonomy places the organism in Eukaryota, Fungi, Ascomycota, Sordariomycetes, Sordariales, Naviculisporaceae. The record is from the annotation of a GenBank genome assembly.